This is a long non-coding RNA of Pecten maximus, 3294 nucleotides long. RefSeq lists it as uncharacterized. The transcript has 2 exons. The record is from RefSeq and is a predicted model, not a curated record. NCBI's taxonomy places the organism in Eukaryota, Metazoa, Mollusca, Bivalvia, Pectinida, Pectinidae.
AUAGUGUGAAUGUCUUCAGCUUCUUACAUGUACUGAUAUUUCUUAACAGAUCGUAUUUCCUUACGUGUGACUGUCUUCAGUACAUUGUGUGUAUUUUAACAUUAUGGUCUAAUUGGUGUGUAUUUCAAGGUUGUUUUAAGACUUACGUUUUUGAGGUUUUACUUUUCACAACAGGGCUACGCAAUAAACAGAGUUCACUUCAAUAAUUAGUGUGAGUGCAUAAUAGGAGAUAGUUUAAUUGUAUGACUUGUAAAUCAAGAUGGCCAUCCACUAAAAAAAGGCAAUAUCAGGUGAAUUAAGAUGACUAUCCAUUAAACAGGCCAAUAUAGGGUGAAUCAAGGUGGCCAUUCAUUAAAUAGGCCAAUAUAGGGUGCAUCAACGUGGCCAUCCAUUAAAUAGGCCAAUAUAGGGUGAAUCAAGGUGGACAUCAAUUAAAUAGGUCAAUGUAGGAUGAAUCAAGGUGGCCAUCCAUUAAAUAGGUCAAUAUAGGGUGAAUCAAGGUGGACAUCAAUUACAUAGGUCAAUGUAGGGUGCAUCAACGUGGCCAUCCAUUAAAUAGGCCAAUAUAGGGUGAGUCAAGGUGGCCAUCCAUUAAAUAGGCCAAUAUAGGGUGAAUCAAGGUGGACAUCAAUUAAAUAGGCCAAUAUAGGGUGCAUCAACGUGGCCAUCCAUUAAAUAGGCCAAUAUAGGGUGAAUCAAGGUGGACAUCAAUUAAAUAGGCCAAUAUAGGGUGAAUCAAGGUGGACAUCCAUUAAAUAGGCCAAUAUAGGGUGAAUCAAGGUGGCCAUUCAUUAAAUAGGCCAAUAUAGGGUGCAUCAACGUGGCCAUCCAUUAAAUAGGCCAAUAUAGGGUGAAUCAAGGUGGACAUCAAUUAAAUAGGCCAGUAUAGGGUGAAUCAAGGUGGCCAUCCAUUAAAUAGGCCAAUAUAGGGUGAAUCAAGGUGGCCAUUCAUUAAAUAGGCCAAUAUAGGGUGAAUCAACGUGGACAUCCAUUAAAUAGGCCAAUAUAGGGUGAAUCAAGGUGGACAUCAAUUAAAUAGGUCAAUGUAGGAUGAAUCAAGGUGGCCAUCCAUUAAAUAGGCCAAUAUAGGGUGAAUCAAGGUGGACAUCCAUUAAAUAGGCCAAUAUAGGGUGAAUCAAGGUGGCCAUCCAUUAAAUAGGUCAAUUUAGGGUGAAUCAAGGUGGACAUCAAUUAAAUAGGCCAAUAUAGAGUGAAUCAAGGUGGCCAUCCAUUAAAUAGGUCAAUUUAGGGUGAAUCAUGAACCUCUAUUAAACAUGCUACUGAACUCAAGUUGAUCAUUCAUUACCAGACAUCUUUAAUGUGUAAUGUGACAGGUUUCUGUUUUAAUCUGCUGAAAAACAUGGAUAAUGAGGGUAAUUUGAAGAUGUAUUUGAUAAUAUAUUCAAUCAUAGAACUGGUUACUGUUAGCGUUUUGCUGAAAAUCUUCUUAUUUGAUUAUCUGAUACAUGUUGUGAUGUACAUUGAUAAGAACUAUAUGUUAUGUUUUGAGCAUAUUAUUGACAGAAUGAAAGUAUUGACACAGAAUGUUAUAUGACUUUUAUCAUGUAAUUAUGUAAAUUGGAUGCAUUUACACGGUGCAUUUAUACUACUCUCCCCCAUCCGAACAAAAAAUCCAAAGAAAACAAAAGUCCUGCUACAUAAUGUACUAUCAUUUAACAUUUAACAAGGAUUCUUUUCUGUGAUUUUAUUCAUGUUUUUCAAGAACAAUCUUUAAUAUAUUAAUUAGAAAUUUAACCAAAGACAGGUGUAGAUUAUACUUAAUCUUCUCCUGUUCAACAAAAGUAUGUAAUGAUUUCUACUACAAAUUAUGUAUCAUUGUUCCUUUAGAUGUCUAUUUGUAUGUUUUCAUUCUAUAGACUUUUUCAAUGCACUUAAAUGUACAUGGAUUCUAUUUAUUUGAAUUGUUUUAAUGAAUUAAAUUAUUUUUGCUGUCACUUCUUUUGAUGUGAGAGUAUCUGGCAUCUUUAUAUUAGACUGGCAUUGUUCUCAGUUGUACCAAAUGAUACUGUGUAAUGGAGUCCAAAUGAUACUGUGUAAUGGAGUCCAAUUGAUACUGUGUAAUGGAGUCCAAUUGAAUCUGACACAAGUUGGCUGUUGUCUCUGUUAAAUAUAUACAUUGUACUUCAGAUAUGAAAUUAUUCCUGUUCAACCUAGAAAAACUCCAUGAAAAGUGUCAUACUGAAAUAGUCAAAUAACAAAAGGUAUAUUUCUUAUGGUAAAUUGAGGAUGCCAUCCUGGAUGUGGGUGGUGCAAUUGAGAAAACUAAACACACAAACCAUUUUGGCUAGUAAGGCACAUUCCAUUACAGGUCAGCUGAUAAGGGACACAGGAAUAAAUAUAGUCAUCAAUAGUAGAGGUUGGAUUUAGGAAAGUAAAUGUAUCAGUGACAAACCCUUUUCAUAACUUUAUCACGAGUUGUAUAUUUAUUGGUGAUAAUGCAACAUUAGUUUGGUUCAGAUACUUACUAAAGCACACUAAAAUUGAUUCCACACUAUGUCAGUAAAGAGAGAAUGCUAGAGAGUCUCUACACAUACAGUCAAACCUGUCUAUAGCGACCGCCCAAGGGGAGGCAGAAAAACGGUCACUAUAGACAGGUUGCCUUUAUAAACAGGUCAAAAUUAUUGCACCAACCAAUUUACUUAAACCUGCCCAAGGGGAAUCUUAAAACCGGUCGUUAUAGACAGGCAGUCAUUAUAUACAGGGGGUCGUUAGAGCAGGUUUGACUGUAGUAUUAAACAACAAAGGUAGGAAACAGACUUUGAAUACCACACAUUUUGUAAUAGCAAAUUGUGAAAGUAAGUAAAACACUGUGACCUUAGUCUAUGGCAGUUUUCCCAACUCGAAUGACCCAGACAGGGAGAUAAACUUGUAACUGUUGAUAUUAAAUUAUUGUAAUUAUUUAAUAGAUAUAAUCAUUUUGUGUUAAACACUCAUCAAUUUUUUACCUUUCUUGAAGGUUUCACUGUAAAAACAAACAGAAGCACAAACAAUGCAAUGGUUGAAGUUACGUGUGCUAUUUUUAUGAGUUUUGUUUUAAGGACAGACCGAUGGUGGAGCUACCUGGGUGUUACUUAAUACCUUCUCCUGUAGAAGGAGUGUUUUUUUCUGAUAAUGUCUGUAGAAGAAGUGUUUUUUUCUGAUAAUGUCUGUAGAAGGAGUUAGUUUUUUCUGAAAAUGUCUGAUGAAGUGAAAGUAUCAUCCCAGGGAGCUAUAUGACAUAUAGUUUGUAUGCACAUGCACUUUGUACUCAAAUGAAUAAAUUUGUUGUCUUUA